GUGUUUGUUGUGUUUUUGGUGUCUUCUGUGUGGUCUUAUCAUGUUUGUGUUGUUUUGUUAAAAUGGGCGUUUGGUGCGAAUUGUAUGUCGCAUUUAGUUCUUCAUAGUUCGUUCCGGUCCAAGAUGAUUUUCUUUCUGCCAUUAGCAAUACAUUAUAUGUACACAUUUACUGCGCUGUGAUUAAUUUGUUUUACGUUUUCCAUCAGUUUUAGAUAACUGCAAAGAUAUGUCAUGAAAUUUUCAGACGACAGAUAUUGGGUGCAGGCGAGAUCAGGAUUGAACACGCGAAGGCUGCAAAGACAUGCCUUGAAAUAUGCAGACGACAGACAUGCGGUGCAGACGAGAUCUGGGUUGAACGCGCGAAAUUGUUUUAUUUUGUUUCUGCGUUUACUCUUUUUGUUUUGCAUUUCUUGUUUCUACUAGAAUGCUGGGGUAUGUAUACUUGAAGAAAAAAGACGCAGACGGACAUGGAAAUGCAGACCAAGCAAAAUGUGCGUUUGUCUUAUGAUGAACAGGUAUGUAAAUUGCUACUUAUGUUAUCCUUUUUUAUGCAUUUUUACAACCUUAGUGGCUGAUGUUUACAAGCACCUGUGAAUAUAUUAUGUUGUAGACAAUGCAAUGGUUUAGCGGAUGGUGCAGCUAUUGUACAUGAUAUUGACUACAAGCACGCGCGUGGAUGUCAUGUUGUAGAUUCACAUUGGUUAAGUGGAUUCUGCAACUUGAUCCUUUUUCUAAGUAAUUCUGGAGCGUGGGAAUGUGCAUUCAACUUCUGGCUAUGGUGAAAGUAAAACUCCACGUAUCGGACAAGAAACUCAAACCUAUUCGAUGAGAAACUCGGGCUAUCGGGGGAGGAACCCGAACUAUCCGACAGGAAGCAGUUUCCUGUACCAUACACG
Molecule: long non-coding RNA, 896 nt
Organism: Mercenaria mercenaria
Lineage: Eukaryota; Metazoa; Mollusca; Bivalvia; Venerida; Veneridae
Exons: 2
Source: RefSeq, a predicted model, not a curated record